Molecule: ribosomal RNA, 512 nt
Filed under: uncultured bacterium
Lineage: Bacteria
Description: bacterial SSU rRNA
Rfam family: Bacterial small subunit ribosomal RNA
Source: RNAcentral
AGAGUUUGAUCAUGGCUCAGAACGAACGUUGGCGGCGUGGAUUAGGCAUGCAAGUCGAACGAAUCCCCGGGGGCAACUCCGGGGGGAAGUGGCGAAAGGGGCAGUAAGGCAUGGGUAACCUACCCCGGGGACCGGGAUAGCCCUCCUAACGGAGGGGUAAUACCGGGCGACCUGGCGAGGCGGCAUCGUCUUGCCAGCAAAUGAAUCUCGCCCUGGGAGGGGCUCAUGUGCUAUUAGCUUGUUGGCGGGGUAACGGCCCACCAAGGCGAAGAUGGCUAGCGGGUGUGAGAGCACGACCCGCGCCACUGGCACUGUGACACUGGCCAGACUCCUACGGGAGGCUGCAGUCGAGGAUCUUCGGCAAUGGGCGCAAGCCUGACCGAGCGACGCCGCGUGUGCGACGAAGGCCUUCGGGUUGUAAAGCACUGUCGAGGGGGAGGAAAGCCCGCAAGGGUCUGACCUAUCCCUGGAGGAAGCACGGGCUAAGUUCGUGCCAGCAGCCGCGGUAAUAC